AAGCGGCAACAGCUCAAAUUUGAAAUCUGGCCUCUGCGGGGUCCGAGUUGUAAUUUGGAGAGGAUGUUUCGGGCACGGUCCGGGCUUAAAUUUCUUGGAACAGAAUGUCACAGAGGGUGAGAAUCCCGUCUGGAGUCCGGACACGGCCCAUGUGAAACUCCUUCGACGAGUCGAGUUGUUUGGGAAUGCAGCUCUAAAUGGGUGGUAAAUUUCAUCUAAAGCUAAAUAUUGGCCAGAGACCGAUAGCGCACAAGUAGAGUGAUCGAAAGAUGAAAAGCACUUUGAAAAGAGAGUUAAACAGUACGUGAAAUUGUUGAAAGGGAAGCGCUGUCAACCAGACUUGCGCGUCGGGGUUCCCCCUUGCUUCUGCCUGGGUUACUCCCCGGCGUUCAGGCCAACAUCGGUUUCGGGGGUUGGUUAAAGGCCCUGGGAAUGUAUCUACCCUCCGGGGUAGACUUAUAGCCCAGGGUGUCAUGCGACCUCCCGGGACCGAGGAACGCGCUUCGGCUCGGAUGUUGGCGUAAUGGUUGUCAGCGACCCGUCUUGAAACACGGACCAAGGAGUCUAACAUCUAUGCGAGUGUUAGGGUGUCAAACCCUUACGCGGAAUGAAAGUGAACGGAGGUAGGAAGCCUUAAGGCUGCACUAUCGACCGAUCCUGAUGUCUUCGGAUGGAUUUGAGUAAGAGCAUAGCUGUUGGGACCCGAAAGAUGGUGAA
This 717-nucleotide ribosomal RNA is filed under the name Cyphellophora reptans. RNAcentral describes it as "eukaryotic LSU rRNA". It matches the Rfam family "Eukaryotic large subunit ribosomal RNA", at positions 96 to 830 of the family's 3401-position model. Lineage: Eukaryota; Fungi; Ascomycota; Eurotiomycetes; Chaetothyriales; Cyphellophoraceae. The record is from RNAcentral.